Molecule: ribosomal RNA, 687 nt
Filed under: uncultured Burkholderia sp.
Lineage: Bacteria; Pseudomonadati; Pseudomonadota; Betaproteobacteria; Burkholderiales; Burkholderiaceae
Description: bacterial SSU rRNA
Rfam family: Bacterial small subunit ribosomal RNA
Source: RNAcentral
GCGGCAUGCCUUACACAUGCAAGUCGAACGGCAGCACGGGUGCUUGCACCUGGUGGCGAGUGGCGAACGGGUGANUAAUACAUCGGAACAUGUCCUGUAGUGGGGGAUAGCCCGGCGAAAGCCGGAUUAAUACCGCAUACGAUCUGAGGAUGAAAGCGGGGGACCUUCGGGCCUCGCGCUAUAGGGUUGGCCGAUGGCUGAUUAGCUAGUUGGUGGGGUAAAGGCCUACCAAGGCGACGAUCAGUAGCUGGUCUGAGAGGACGACCAGCCACACUGGGACUGAGACACGGCCCAGACUCCUACGGGAGGCAGCAGUGGGGAAUUUUGGACAAUGGGCGAAAGCCUGAUCCAGCAAUGCCGCGUGUGUGAAGAAGGCCUUCGGGUUGUAAAGCACUUUUGUCCGGAAAGAAAUCCUUGGUUCUAAUAUAGCCGGGGGAUGACGGUACCGGAAGAAUAAGCACCGGCUAACUACGUGCCAGCAGCCGCGGUAAUACGUAGGGUGCAAGCGUUAAUCGGAAUUACUGGGCGUAAAGCGUGCGCAGGCGGUUUGCUAAGACCGAUGUGAAAUCCCCGGGCUCAACCUGNGAACUGCAUUGGUGACUGGCAGGCUAGAGUAUGGCAGANGGGGGUAGAAUUCCACGUGUAGCAGUGAAAUGCGUAGAGAUGUGGAGGAAUACCGAUGGCGAA